UACGUAGGGUGCGAGCGUUGUCCGGAAUCACUGGGCGUAAAGGGUGCGUAGGCGGCCUGUUAAGUCCGAUGUUAAAGACUGGGGCUCAACCCCAGCAUUGCGUUGGAUACUGGCAGGCUUGACGGUUGGAGAGGCGAGUGGAAUUCCCAGUGUAGCGGUGAAAUGCGUAGAUAUUGGGAAGAACACCGGUGGCGAAGGCGACUUGCUGGACAUUAACUGACGCUGAGGCGCGAAAGCGUGGGGAGCAAACAGGAUUAGAUACCCCCGGUAGU
Molecule: ribosomal RNA, 272 nt
Filed under: uncultured prokaryote
Description: partial 16S ribosomal RNA
Rfam family: Bacterial small subunit ribosomal RNA
Source: RNAcentral